UACGGGGGGGGCAAGCGUUGUUCGGAAUUACUGGGCGUAAAGGGCUCGUAGGUGGCCAACUAAGUCGGACGUGAAAUCCCUCGGCUUAACCGGGGAACUGCGUCCGAUACUGGAUGGCUUGAGUUUGGGAGAGGGAUGCGGAAUUCCAGGUGUAGCGGUGAAAUGCGUAGAUAUCUGGAGGAACACCGGUGGCGAAGGCGGGUCUCUGGGCCGAAAUUGACGCUGAGGAGCGAAAGCGUGGGGAGCAAACAGG
This 253-nucleotide ribosomal RNA is filed under the name uncultured bacterium. Its description in RNAcentral is "partial 16S ribosomal RNA". It matches the Rfam family "Bacterial small subunit ribosomal RNA", at positions 524 to 776 of the family's 1533-position model. The record is from RNAcentral.